CUUUCCGCAUAAAGCAUGUUUUUUUUUCCGCAUAAAAUGUGUUUCUAGACCUCAAAUUACUGCGGUGAUCUCCUUUGAAUUCUCUCAAAUUAGUCUCUAUCUUUCUUCAAGUGCAGUGCCCAAAACUGGAUUCAAUAUACCGAAUGAUGCUUUACUGGUGGGUCAGACCUUUAAUAAGAAGAUAUGGUACCUUAUACUAUGAGUAAUCCUCUUUGAAGUAAGGGCUGACUAAGGGUAUUGCAGUCUUCCCCUUAACAAGUGACCCUUGGUAGCACACCUACCUCAGACCAGAAAGAGGAAAAAAGUGUGAUGCACUGAGAACACGAUGAGAAGGGACUCUCCGAUUGCUAUAAAUUGGUGCUGUGGUAAAGAAAGAAGCUUCUUAAAGUUGGUUCACUCUCUCCUCAGCAGUCUGGUCAGAUUCUUUGAAGUGCCUGUAGAAAGACGACCAGGAAGAAGUACAGCUCAAAAAAGACAGAAGACUCCCUAGGUAAAAUCUGUUGGAUUCUCCUGCAUAUGAGGAGUUGAGGGUAUAGGGCACCACUGUAGCUUGAGUGAGUGUGGUUCUGCGGACAAGUGACAGCAACAGAAGCUGAAAGCUGGAAAUGGUCUCCCAAAGGCUCUGAGGCUGAAAUCUGAGGCUUAAAAAGAACAAUGAAUGGCCUUUGGUUUUGUGCAUGCUUUUUACUUGCAGAUUCGAAUGGCCAGUUCAACUCAUCUUACAGAUCCUAGGAUGUGUAUUCACAGUUUGUAUGAAAUCCUUCUGGCACAUGCAACUUAAGAUGGAGAAAUAUGAAGAUACCAAUAAAAUUAGAUUUG
Dromaius novaehollandiae (emu) is the source of this 819-nucleotide long non-coding RNA. RefSeq lists it as uncharacterized. The transcript has 4 exons. Lineage: Eukaryota; Metazoa; Chordata; Aves; Casuariiformes; Dromaiidae. The record is from RefSeq and is a predicted model, not a curated record.